Nicotiana attenuata is the source of this 96-nucleotide microRNA precursor. It matches the Rfam family "MIR6152 microRNA precursor family". Lineage: Eukaryota; Viridiplantae; Streptophyta; Magnoliopsida; Solanales; Solanaceae. The record is from Rfam.
UGGACAGAUUAUUGUAUUCGACUGUAUUCACGGCAUGAAACAGGGGUUUACACUGUUUUUAAACGGAAAGUGAAUCAAUUAACAUAAUAGACUCCU